Trichobilharzia regenti is the source of this 46-nucleotide non-coding RNA. Lineage: Eukaryota; Metazoa; Platyhelminthes; Trematoda; Strigeidida; Schistosomatidae. The record is from Rfam.
GUGCUGCCUAAGAGUCCCAAACUAGGACGAAACAGCUGUCCAGUAC